GGGGCAGGCCAGGCGGUGAACAGGAGGGAGUCUGAAAGUUUUCAGAGAUGAGACAUUUGCGUUUCUCAGCUCCCAUGGCUUCUCGCCUGAAACUGUUUCCCUCCAUAGGAGAUUUGAGAAACCGAUCCCUUGACAAACAACUUAAGACAGCUGGAGCUCUAAUCAUCAAGGAUUUUUAUGGUGCUGCUUUUGAAGUAAAAAUAAAGUGAAACCCCUUAUGGCAUUUCAAGUGGAAAAAUAAAUAAUGCUGGCCGUCCGCACAGGGGGCUCCGGGCGAUGGCUGGAAGCGCGAGAGUGGUGCGCGGUUCUGUGCCGUCGAUGUUCACGUGCUUCCCGUGGCAGUGACCUUUGAGACAAAGCCGGUGGCUUGUCAGGACCCUAUGCUGGGUGUCCACCUCUCCACCUCUUCUAGAAAACGUAACAGGAACAUUGCCUUGUUCAAGGCCCAGGGCUGUUGUGAGGGUUUAUUGAGAUAACAGUCUGUAAGAGCUUUGGUCACUUCAUAGAAGCUUAUCUGUUUUAGCUCGGUUGCUAAUUUAUUGCUCUCGGUUUUAUGUCGUUUUCUCUCGCCCUUUCAGUCUCCGCGUUGUCAGUUUAUCCCUUUUUUCACUCCUACCCUUGCCUCUCAAUGCUUUCCCUUUCCUUGGUCAAAACUUGCUAAAGAUCUGUUCAUUUUAAAGGUAUUUUCAGAGAACCAAACCUCUAUUGAUUACAUCUGCUGGAUAUGUUUCCUGUCUGGUGCUUUCUUGUUUUUAUCCUGCAUUUUUUUUCUUUUUUUCUGGGUUUCUGGAUAUAUUUUGUGGUUCAGCAAAGUCUUGACAAACUGAGGAGUCCUUACACAUGGAAACAAUGGUUUGCUCGGCAAACACUGAGCCCCUGCACUGGGCCUGCUGGGGAUUUCAGGGGCAAGACACAGGCCUGACUCUCCAGGCACACAUGAUUCUAGCCUAGUGGGAAGACUUAAGAAAAUAGACAACCGCAAAUUCCAAAAACAAAACAAACAAACAAAAAAGGUUUUUGUGGCCACGCUGUCCUGUGGAGGCACCUGGAUGAUAAAUGAAGCCAAGAUUAUUGCUUAUUUUGUUCUCCCCCAGAAAGCAGCUUUCUGUCGUAGGUCAAGCUCGCUAAGGAGUCACAAACAGGCCUCCCUCUGAAAGAUUUGUGACCCUUUCCAGCAGGGAGCCCACAGCCCACCCCCUCCCAAGGUGACUGCCAGAUCAGCAUUCUGCCUGCCCAACACUGCUUUUCUCCUCCCCAGGGCAGCACUGGCUGCACUCUGCCCCCUCUUCCUAAAUCACCUUUCAGGAAAAUGAGAAGUAGGUACGUCUUCUGGAAAAGAGCGGGACACUAAGCCUUAGCAAACCACAUCCUGCAAUUCUGCCGAUCGCUGUGGCUCCUAGUGUGAUGUGGUUGCUCAUGUGGUACCUGGUAACCACAAGAUCCCGUGAGGCCUGGGUCUGCAGCCUGCUCUGGGCCUCAGUUUCCUUACAGGUAAAACGUGGUCCUUGGAGCAAACGUAGUCUUCCUACCCUUACUAUACUGGGACUCCUUUCUCCUAGGAUCUUCAGGUCCUCCUUGAUGCACUUGAGGAAGGUGACUGAGCACUGGGGAGGUGGCAGUGCCCUGGCAGGACAGCCUGCACAUGCUUUAUGCUUUAGUCAUUGUACCCCAGAUAGGCCUCUGUCAGGAAGCCUUCCCAGAUUUCUUCCUUCUCCCUGAAGAUCCACUUGCCUAGAUCACUGCACUCCACCCUCUAUUGAGUGCUAGCGCUAGUGCAGAUUUCCUCUUCUGCUGUGACUGGGCUACCCCUCACCUCCCUAGGGGGCCUGCAUUGUCAUUUAAAUCAAAGGUACUUGUCAGAAUCCUGCUCAGGAUUGGGGCGACACGAUGGACAGGGUGGACAGUCUCUGACAUCCAAGCUCAUGGGAAAAGGGAUGAGAUUGGGCAGAUAAUCCCACAGAUACACAGGACUCUGGGCUGUGGCACAUGGCCUAAAGGAGUCUAGGAGGGGAGCUGGUGUGGGCCAGGGAGGAUUGAUGUUCAGGCUGAGACCUGAGGACAAGUAUAACUGUGUGAGCAGUGAAAUAGUAAAUGGGAUGUUAUUUCUCACCAUCUACUCAAGCAUCUCUCUGCUUACAGCUAAAGAGACUGGGCUGAAAGUAAAAUGAAGGACCACCAGUAUCUGGUGAUAGUGAGGGGAUCUAAGGUUGGCAUCUUGGUGGCAGGCCACCAAACUCAGUCCAGAGUGAGAAAUCUUCAGUUUCCAGCUGACUGGAACCAUUGCAAACAAGAGCCUGAUGGGACUAAGGAGUGACACAAUCCAAAGAGCGCUUAAUUUAAGGUGGGAUAUUUUCAGUUCGGAACAGGAGCAUUUGAGCAGAGAAAGAGCAUGGCUGUCGAGAAGGUCAUCGCCCUGCCUAGGUCAUCAGCAUGGAGAAGCGUAAAUCCAAGGAGCCGUGGUGGCUGAGGAGGAGAAGGCAGGAGAAAGGCUGGGGAGGGAGGACAGAGAAAGGGGAGACACGGCCAGCCAACUCCCCUUGAAUAGCUGCAGGAAGUCAGGGCGGGGAAGGGUCACUCCUUGUGUUCAUUUGGCUGCCCCAGUGGGAACCCAGUCUCCUGGCAUCUAGUGUGGAGCUCACCCCUCAUCCCCAAUGCCCUCACUCCCCAAUACUGGGUGAAAGGGUCUGGACCUCACCCAGAACUAAGAAGUGCCCUCCUCCACACACGAGGGAAGGGAUCCUGACUGAAAGCUGGGAGGGGGGCAGAGUUGGGUCUGCCAGGCUUCCAGGAGGGCAUUGCAUUUCCUGAGGCAAACUUUGAUACUCGAGCGGCUCAAGGGGAGGAGGUGGCUGAGCAGCAGCUGAAGAAGUGUCUCCCUUUGGGGUGUCAGGACUCGGUGGUGGGAGUGGACUUCAGGAACAGUUUAGGAUCCACAAACCUUGAGAGGCAAGGUUUCAGGGAACCUUAGCCCUGUGCUCCCACCUUUGUGAUCACACCUUCCCGAGCCUCAGUUUCCUCACCGGUAAAAUGGAAAUCAUAACACCCACUGGAGCCUGGCUUAAGGCCAAGUUUUCUCAAAUGUUCAUCUUCUUUUCUGUGCCCACCUUAAUGGGCUCAGGCCUCUUAGGGGCCAUCUGAUCAUCCAGCUCUCCCACUCAUUCCUGUGAGGCGCCUUGGCCGGGCCCUGUGCCAAGCCCCAAGAACUUGAUGCAGGAUAAGACCAUGCCCUCCUUGUGUAGCUCCUCGGGGCAGGAGGGAAGGCAGCGAGGCAGUCCUGCAGGCAGGUAAUUACGGGGCUAUGUUGUCAGGGCUUCACUGAGUUAGGGAGCAUCAUUUGGGAGGCCAUAUGUCAGCACCUCAGCAUGAAUUCCCUUAAUUAUUUCUUACAAGCCCUGAAAUGACAAUUCCCUAAAAAGGAGAGGAACACUAAGAUGUAGCUCUUUCCUGAGGGGCCAGGGUCCUGGCUUUGCUUCCCUGCUUGGCCACCAGCUUGCCCAGAACCACCCAUGGAUCUUUCACCAUCAGAGAGAAGGCACUGCCUGUUCAAGCCACCGCCUUGUGUAGAGCCAGUGUGGGCAUGGGUUUGAGAGUGCUUGGUCAGACUCGGGUGAACAUGAACCUUCUCCAAAGACUAAGCCUCUGGGUGGUUCUGGCCUCUCACCUCUUUUCCUGGCAGCUUGUGGAGAGUCUACCCUUGGACACCUCACCACUUCUUCCAAAGCUAAACUGCCAAUCCCCGCCACACACUGGUAGUGACCGCCCUCUAGGGCUGAUCUCCACCCACUUCCCAUGUGACCUUGCUCUCUGCUCGCUCUUCUCCGGGCCCCUUUCCCCAUCUAUAUACCAAGGAGGGGCUGGACCAAGCAGUCUUUAACAUUUUCAAAGCCAUCUUCUGUGAAAUAUCAGUGAACUUUAUCCUUGUUACUUCAAUCUCAGAGAUGUUGGUUGAAACAGAGUGUGUGAAGCAAGCAUUUAAUUAAAGGAUUUUUUUGUAUGAAAGAAUAGACAUUACAUCUCUUGGGUGCAGAAAUGUUAAGACUCUUAGCUUAAGAGUCAAAGCGGUCUUGGAAGGGUCUCUGGAGGAGAAAGACAAACUCAGCCCUUCAGUGCUUCCCUGUGGCCCUAACUCCUUAGAUUGGCCAUCGAGGACCUGCACAGUCCUUGAGCGUGGGGGCUUGAUCUUUGUCCCUGGACCAGGCACAGUUUCUGCCCAACCAGGCCUGGCAUAGAAGCUACUGGUUGGCUGACCAGGGGGGUGGAUGUAAGGAUGGGUGGCUCAAUCAGUCAAUCUCAAGACUCCCUAAGGAAUUACGUGGCCCAGUCUUUCCUAGAAGUAAGGGAAUUCACUUGGCCUCUCAAGUCUCCUCUUGACAACUCUGAAAUGACAAUAUUUUCCAGCCUCCAGACCAAUAUUUUACACACAGAUAUCACAGACACUAAUAUGUCACAAAAGAUAUAUGAGAAGAACCUCCUAAGAGGCACUUCAGGCAAGCAUCCUAACCGUGGCAACAGGUGGCUAUGAGACACCGCCCCUCACUGGCCCUCAGUUUCCCCAUUCGUAAAAUGAGGCAGUUGGACUAGAUAAUCCUUGAGUUCCUUUCUAGCUCUAGCAUCGCCCUCAGAUGUCCUGGUACCUACAGCAGUAACGGGACAGGGGGCAUGAUGACUCCGGGAUCUGGGUCAAGUCCAUGUCUUGGAGCUUGAAAGAGUCGUGAUGAUGGUUGUGGCCCCCUGGAAGAUGAACAUGGCAGGAACUGGCCGAGAGAUUUUUCUGCUGAUGGUGAAACGUCCUGGCAAUUUAUACAGUCCCAAGCCACAGAGCAUCACCCCGUGUCAUGGAGGAGGCAACAGAAAACAGAGAGGUGCCUUGCUGACAUAGAGCACGAAUGGCAGGAGCUGGAUUCAGACCUCAGUCCAUCCAGGAUCACAGUCCUUCCCAGGACCAAGUUGAGCUGCGAGGAAGAGGAUGAGAGAUCUGUGAGAUGCAGGUGGAGACGCUCCAUGGCACGUGCGGGAGGCUGGCGGUGCGGUCCGAGGUCCGACCGGAGAGCAGACCGGAUAUUAAAGCGUCACAUCAGACUGCAGUGACAACGUCUGCAGUGCCAGCACUAGAGCAGGUAGCGCUCUUAAGAAACCUCCCCACCACAGGAGUGAUGUGUACAUUCUGUAUUUACAUCGAAGACUUUGGUAUUUUUAAAAACUGUUUUCUUUAGCAUAUAUAUCUGAAAUAUAACAUGUAUCUGAAAUAUAUGAUGUGACACAGAGAUCUAAUUUGAUCAUUUUCCAAAUGGAUAACCAGUUUGCGAAGCACCGUGUAUUGUCCCAACACCAUCUUUUCUCCCCGUUCACUCUGUUCAGGUCUCUUGGUCUAUUUGUCUACUUCCGGGCCAAUACCAGAUUGUAAUGAGCAAAAAGCUUUAUCUUACUUUCCAGUAAGACAUGGUGUGUACCCGCUGGAGGUGUUGCUCUCAGUUUAGUACGCCCUACGGGACUCCUGGUGUAGCCCUGGUGUAGCCGACGUGCCCUGCCACAGUGUUCCUUGCAGCUGGCGACUGGCGGCUGUAGCUGCUUUUGCACCAUGUUUGAUUUCCCUGUUUCCUAUUGAUUGACUAUUAAAAUGUUUCCAGUGUCAUUCCAUUAAGACAAACCUGUAAGAGCUUCCUAAAAUUGCCCUUUUUGCAUGUGUUCAAGUAUUUCUUUGGGACAGAUAUCCAGUUUGUGGGUCAUAGGGUAUACCUAGCUUUAAUUCUAAUAGAAACUUCUAAAAUGUUCUCCAAAUUCCCUUCUGAUGAAUCACCUGCCAGCAGUGUGUGAGAGCAUCCAUUUCCCCAGACCACAUCCAAGUUUUCCAUUCUUAACCAGUCUGAUGAGUGAAAAAUAGUAUGUUGCUUCAUUUCACAUUUUUCUGAAUUGCUUACACAAUUGAAGUCUUCAUGUGUUUACUGUCCAUUUUUAUGUCCUCCUUUGGAUUGCUUGUGCAUAUCCUUUGCCUGUUUCUUUUCUUUUUUUUUUUUUUAAGGUGUUUUUUUGUCUUUUUGUUAUUGAUUUUUAGGAUUUCUUUAUGUAUUUGACUAUAAAUACUUUGUCGUGUAUAUUAAUGUUUUCUACACUGUGAUUUGUGUCAUUUAAUUGGGGGGGUUGUCUUAGAGAAAUUUUAAUUUUGAUACAAAUUUGUCAAUCUCACUUUUAUGCUAUUUUUAUAGUCUUAUUUUAAAAAGUCUUUUCUAGAUCAAGAUCAUAAGAUCUAAAAUUUAUAGUUUCUGUAUAAAUACAUAUUUAAGCCUUUAUACUAUAUACAAAGAACAAAUUUCAAAUGCCUGAAUCUUAGGAACUAACUUUAAUCCCUCUCUGUUUCCCACAAAUGGGUAGGUAAUUGUCCCAAUACCACUUAUGGAAUAAUAUAUCAUUUCUCCACUGAUUUAAAAUCGCUGCUUCUGCCUGACACUAAAUUCCAAUGUGGGUCUAUGUCAGAGCUCUUUCUGGUCCACUGAUCUAUUUGUCUACUCCUGAGCUGGAUAAUAUGCUUUGCUAACUGCCGGGACAAAUCCCACCCUCUUUGUUGUUUUUGUAAAAUUGCCUUGGUCAUGCUUGCAUAUUUGUCCCACCACAUGAAUUUUAAAAUAGCCAGUCAACUUUCAAGAAAAAUUCUGCUAGGAUUUUAAUUGGGGUCACAUUGAGUUUAUGGAUAAGUUUGAGGAAAAUUGGCCCCUUUAUCAUGUUUGCAUCUGCCAACCAGUGCUCUUUGCUUGUAUCUCUCAGUUGCGGUCAUCUUUCACGUCUUUCAGGGAAGGUGUGUGGUUUUCUCUCGUUAAAAGUCUUGCAUAUUUCUUGAUAAAUUUAUUCCUCGUUUUAUUACAGGUUUUGUUGCCAGUUGUGAAUAGGAUCUCCUCUCCCCUUAUGUUUGGCCCUUGUUUUUCCAUCCUUCGUUUCAACCUGUUCACUGAUCAGCUUGACGUGCAGACACACACGCAAAGUAAACGUUCUUCCUCCCUGGGCUCACGCACGUGAGCACAGCCAAACACUCAGAGCCGGCAUAAUUGGCUGAAAACAAAUUAGAAUCUUUUCAGAUUAUACUUUAAUUAAACAAGUAAAGCAUGAAUACAUUUUCCUUUUAAAAGGAGAGCAGUAUGAAAUUAAAGUUUCCUUUGGUCACUUGAGGUCCUGGUUCCUCAACCCUCCGCAGAGGUGGCCGCUGUUCAGAGUUUGAUGUAUUAAGAGUUCCUGCUGUGGUGCAGUAAGUUAACAAUCUGACUGCAGUGGCUCAGGUCACUUUGGAGACUCAGGUUCAAUCUCUCGUCCAGGAAUUUCCAUAUGCCACAGGUGCAGCCAUAAAAAAAAAAAAAAGAAUUUGAUAUAUUGCCUUCCAUAGUAAAUAUAUAGAUAGUAUGGAUGGAAGUAUUUUGAAUAAAUGUCACCAUGUCAUAGGUAUUAUACUAUAUCCUGCAUUUUUUCACUUAAUCUUUGCUUUUGAGUUACACUCAUGUUAGCGAUAUAGCAGCUCUUGUUCAUGCUUUUUAGCAGCUAUAUAGGGUAGUACUUCUUCACCUGACUGUACCGAGAUUCCCCUUCUCUAACAUCCAUAGUCUGAGGGGUUCCUCCCCUUAACCCCUUGUAAUGAAGAAUGCUGCCAGGGACAUCUUGGCACCUGUUCUGGAAAUGUUUCUAUAGGGUUGGCACUGAGAGUGGAACUCUGGCCCCUGUGGUGUCCACCGUUCCAGUUUUAGUAGUCGAAGUCCAAGUUGGCUUCUGAAGUUGCUGUGCAAUUUAAGCUCCUUUCACAAGGAACUGUAAAUCUUCCUUUUUCCAAACCAUUGCCAGCUUUUAAAGUUUAUGGAUCUGAUGAAUGAAAAAAGUGGUUUCUUGAUUUGUUUGUGUUUUCCCGGUCACGUUGUGGUCUCCUCCUGGGUCUCCUGGCCAUUUAUAUUUCCUCCCAUUGGAAUCAUCCAUGCAUCUCCUUUGUCCCCCUCUCUUCUGUGUUGUCUUUUUCUUUUUGACUUAUAGGAUUUAUUUAUGUAUUUUUUAUAUGAAUUCCCUGUCUACUCUAUGCAUUGCAUGUAAUCUACCAUUCUGACCCUUGUCAUUUGACUGUAUUAUCUUUUUAUUACAGAGCUCUUAAUUUUUAUGUCAAAUUUAGAAUUAUCUUGCCAUAAGAAGGUCCUCCUUAUGUUAAGAUCACAACCAUUUUUCCUGUAUUUUUCCUGAAGCUUUCAUAAUUUUCUUUCUUGCAUAUGUAUUUUACGUUAUUUUACUAUUCUCACAUUUAAGUCUUUACUGCAUAUGAAGCUAAUUUUAAGUGUGUUAUGGAUGCUUAAUUUUAGUAAACUUCAAAAUUGAUAACCAAUAUUUUCAGUACCAUUUAUUGGGUAAUCUGUCCUUUCUCCAGUAAUUUAAAAUCGCUGCUUCUGCCUGACACUAAAUUCCAAUGUGGGUCUAUGUCAGAGCUCUUUCUGGUCCACUGAUCUAUUUGUCUACUCCUGAGCUGGAUAAUAUGCUUUGCUAACUGCCGGGACAAAUCCCACCCUCUUUGUUGUUUUUGUAAAAUUGCCUUGGUCAUCCUUGCAUAUUUGUCCCACCACAUGAAUUUUAAAAUAGCCAGUCAACUUUCAAGAAAAAUUCUGCUAGGAUUUUAAUUGGGGUCACAUUGAGUUUAUGGAUAAGUUUGAGGAAAAUUGGCCCCUUUAUCAUGUUUGCAUCUGCCAACCAGUGCUCUUUGCUGUAUCUCUCAGUUGCGGUCAUCUUUCACGUCUUUCAGGGAAGGUGUGUGGUUUUCUCUCGUUAAAAGUCUUGCAUAUUUCUUGAUAAAUUUAUUCCUCGUUUUAUUACAGGUUUUGUUGCCAGUUGUGAAUAGGAUCUCCUCUCCCCUUAUUUGUUUAUUUGACCCUUGGGGUUUUUGCUUGUUUUGUUUUUUAAGUUUCAUUGAAGUAUAGUUGAUUCACAAUGUUGUGAUAAAAUUUCUGCAGUACGACAGAGUGAUUCAGUUAUACAUAUACACACAUCCAUUCUUUUUCAGAUUCUUUUCUCCUAUAGAUUAUCACCAAAUAUCGUGCCCUUUGUUUUUCCAUCCUUCGUUUCAACCUGUUCACUGAUCAGCUUGACGUGCAGACACACACGCAAAGUAAAUGUUCUUCCUCCCUGGGCUCACGCACGUGAGCACAGCCAGACACUCAGAGCCGGCAUAAUUGGCUGAAAACAAAUUAGAAUCUUUUCAGAUUAUACUUUAAUUAAACAAGUAAAGCAUGAAUACAUUUUCCUUUUAAAAGUAGAACAAUAUGAAUGUAACUAAAGUUUCCUUUGGCUAUCCUCUGAAGUUCUAGCUCGCCUUCCCUCCCCACAGUUUUAUGUGUCUCCUUCCAUAGAAAUGUAUCGAUGUAGAUAUUUUGAAUGACUCCUCCCUUCUUAUAGAGAUUUUACUGUAAGCUGUGUUUUUUUUUUCACUGUCUUCGAUUGCUAAGAUAUACUCAUAUUGAUACAAUAGUUCUCACCAGUUCCUUUUAAUAGCUGUGUUAUAAUCACUCCCAUGCAUGUGCCACAUUUUUUUCUUCCCUAAGAUCCAUAGAUAGUUUGUUGCAUCCUUUUCUUUCCUCCCUCAUAAGCAGGCUGCAGAAAAGCCUUACACAUGCCUCCUCUGUAAUGUUUCUUUAGAAUAGUGUUUAAAAAGUGGAAUUGGGGGAGUUCCCAUGUGGCUGAGCAGGUUAAGGAUCUGGCAUUAUCAUUGUAGUGGCUCAAGUUGCUGCUUCCAGGAACUUCCACAUGCCGAGAGUGUGCCCUGCAUCAAUAAGUAGAAUUUUGGCUCUCACAAGUUCCACAUUUUUGGUUUUAGACAUUACCAAAGUGUUCUCCAUGAUUUCUGUACCAUUUAAACUUCUAGCCAGAGGCUGUGCGGGGACUGCAGUCCCCACACCAUAAGCAGUUAUUUUAAAUGUUUGCCAAUCUGAUGGAUGAAAAAUUGGAUCAUUUAAAAAAAUUUAUGCAUACUUGUUUGCUAGUGAGAUUUUCAUAUGUGUAUUAGGCAUUUGUAUUUUUUAUUUUCUGAAUAAUCUGUUUAUUUUUGCUCAUUUAAAAAUUAGGUUGUUUGUCUAUCUUAAUGAUUUAUGAGUUUCCUAAUAUAACCUGGAUAUCAAUCUUUGUGUGUGUGUGUGUGUGUGGCAAAUGUUUUCUUCCAGCUGGUCUAUUGCCUUCAAAUUUUGUAGGAGCUUUUGUUAGACAGAAGUUAUCAAUUUUGACAUAAUCAAAUUUAUCUAUUCCUUUGUUCUUUUUAUUUAUACAUCAUGUUUAGGCUUUUCUUACUACUAAGGUUUAAAUACAUUCUGAAUUCCUUUCUA
Long non-coding RNA from Phacochoerus africanus (Common warthog), 10322 nucleotides. RefSeq lists it as uncharacterized. The record is from RefSeq and is a predicted model, not a curated record. Lineage: Eukaryota; Metazoa; Chordata; Mammalia; Artiodactyla; Suidae. The transcript has 3 exons.